GGGGAUGUAGCUCAGCUAGGCAGAGCGCCUGGCUCAUAACCAGGUGGUCAUCGGUUCAAACCCGGUCAUCCCCA
RNAcentral lists this transfer RNA (74 nucleotides) under Thermoplasma volcanium GSS1. RNAcentral describes it as "tRNA-Ile2 (CAT) (tRNA-Ile2-CAT-1-1)". It matches the Rfam family "tRNA". Rfam says of the family: Transfer RNA (tRNA) molecules are approximately 80 nucleotides in length. Their secondary structure includes four short double-helical elements and three loops (D, anti-codon, and T loops). Further hydrogen bonds mediate the characteristic L-shaped molecular structure. tRNAs have two regions of fundamental functional importance: the anti-codon, which is responsible for specific mRNA codon recognition, and the 3' end, to which the tRNAs corresponding amino acid is attached (by aminoacyl-tRNA synthetases). tRNAs cope with the degeneracy of the genetic code in two manners: having more than one tRNA (with a specific anti-codon) for a particular amino acid; and 'wobble' base-pairing, i.e. permitting non-standard base-pairing at the 3rd anti-codon position. The record is from RNAcentral. Lineage: Archaea; Methanobacteriati; Thermoplasmatota; Thermoplasmata; Thermoplasmatales; Thermoplasmataceae.